RNAcentral lists this transfer RNA (60 nucleotides) under Muntiacus reevesi (Reeves' muntjac). It matches the Rfam family "tRNA", at positions 6 to 65 of the family's 71-position model. Rfam says of the family: Transfer RNA (tRNA) molecules are approximately 80 nucleotides in length. Their secondary structure includes four short double-helical elements and three loops (D, anti-codon, and T loops). Further hydrogen bonds mediate the characteristic L-shaped molecular structure. tRNAs have two regions of fundamental functional importance: the anti-codon, which is responsible for specific mRNA codon recognition, and the 3' end, to which the tRNAs corresponding amino acid is attached (by aminoacyl-tRNA synthetases). tRNAs cope with the degeneracy of the genetic code in two manners: having more than one tRNA (with a specific anti-codon) for a particular amino acid; and 'wobble' base-pairing, i.e. permitting non-standard base-pairing at the 3rd anti-codon position. RNAcentral also lists the same sequence under 1 other name. Lineage: Eukaryota; Metazoa; Chordata; Mammalia; Artiodactyla; Cervidae. The record is from Rfam by way of RNAcentral.
GGUGGCUCAGAUGGUAAAGCAUCUGCCUGCAAUGCAGGAGACCUGGGUUCAAUCCCAAUC